GCCUGAGACCUGAUGCCGAGCCGAUUGUGGUGAAGUGGAUGAUCCUAUGCUGUCGAGAAAAGCCUCUAGCGAGUUUCAUGGCGGCCCGUACCCCAAACCGACUCAGGUGGUCAGGUAGAGAAUACCGAGGCGUUCGGGUGAACUAUGGUUAAGGAACUCGGCAAAAUGCCCCCGUAACUUCGGGAGAAGGGGGGCCAUUCCUGGUGACGGCACUUGCUGCCAGAGCUGGGGGUGGCCGCAGAGACCAGCGAGAAGCGACUGUUUACUAAAAACACAGGUCCGUGCGAAGCCGUAAGGCGAUGUAUACGGACUGACGCCUGCCCGGUGCUGGAACGUUAAGGGGACCGGUUAGCUCUGAUUCGUCGGGGCGAAGCUGAGAACUUAAGCGCCAGUAAACGGCGGUGGUAACUAUAACCAUCCUAAGGUAGCGAAAUUCCUUGUCGGGUAAGUUCCGACCUGCACGAAUGGCGUAACGACUUCUCGACUGUCUCAACCAUAGGCCCGGUGAAAUUGCAUUACGAGUAAAGAUGCUCGUUUCGCGCAGCAGGACGGAAAGACCCCGGGACCUUUACUAUAGCUUGAUAUUGGUGUUCGGUUCGGCUUGUGUAGGAUAGGUGGGAGACUUUGAAGCCGUGACGCCAGUCAUGGUGGAGUCGUCGUUGAAAUACCACUCUGGUCGUGCUGGAUGUCUAACCUGGGUCCGUGAUCCGGAUCAGGGACAGUGUCUGGUGGGUAGUUUAACUGGGGCGGUUGCCUCCUAAAGAGUAACGGAGGCGCCCAAAGGUUCCCUCAGCCUGGUUGGCAAUCAGGUGUUGAGUGUAAGUGCACAAGGGAGCUUGACUGUGAGACUGACGGGUCGAGCAGGGACGAAAGUCGGGACUAGUGAUCCGGCGGUGGCUUGUGGAAGCGCCGUCGCUCAACGGAUAAAAGGUACCCCGGGGAUAACAGGCUGAUCUUCCCCAAGAGUCCAUAUCGACGGGAUGGUUUGGCACCUCGAUGUCGGCUCGUCGCAUCCUGGGGCUGGAGUAGGUCCCAAGGGUUGGGCUGUUCGCCCAUUAAAGCGGUACGCGAGCUGGGUUUAGAACGUCGUGAGACAGUUCGGUCCCUAUCCGCUGUGCGCGUAGGAGUGUUGAGAAGGGCUGUCCCUAGUACGAGAGGACCGGGACGGACGAACCUCUGGUGUGCCAGUUGUCCUGCCAAGGGCAUGGCUGGUUGGCUACGUUCGGGAGGGAUAACCGCUGAAAGCAUCUAAGCGGGAAGCCUGCUUCGAGAUGAGCACUCCCACCUCCUUGAGAGGGUAAGGCUCCCAGUAGACGACUGGGUUGAUAGGCCGGAUAUGGAAGCCCUGUGAGGGGUGGAGUUGACCGGUACUAAUAGGCCGAGGGCUUGUCCUCAGUUG
Molecule: ribosomal RNA, 1399 nt
Filed under: Streptomyces sp. NRRL S-495
Lineage: Bacteria; Bacillati; Actinomycetota; Actinomycetes; Kitasatosporales; Streptomycetaceae
Description: bacterial LSU rRNA
Rfam family: Bacterial large subunit ribosomal RNA
Source: RNAcentral